This 28-nucleotide small RNA is filed under the name Bombyx mori (domestic silkworm). RNAcentral's name for it is "ovarian small RNA-13229". The record is from RNAcentral. Lineage: Eukaryota; Metazoa; Arthropoda; Insecta; Lepidoptera; Bombycidae.
CAGCGACAGCGCGUCGAGAAUGCACAAC